RNAcentral lists this ribosomal RNA (318 nucleotides) under Helicoradomenia sp. AO-2003. Its description in RNAcentral is "eukaryotic LSU rRNA". It matches the Rfam family "Eukaryotic large subunit ribosomal RNA", at positions 666 to 946 of the family's 3401-position model. Lineage: Eukaryota; Metazoa; Mollusca; Solenogastres; Cavibelonia; Simrothiellidae. The record is from RNAcentral.
CCAAGGAGUAUAACAUGUUCGCGAGUCACUGGGUCGGCGCAAACCCAAGGGCGCAAUGAAAGUAAAGUUCGGCCUCUCGGUCGAGCCAGGUAGGAUCCUCGUCCGUUGGGACGGGGCGCACUACCAGCCCGGCUCGAUCUCUCACUCGCAGUGCGAGUGCGAGAGCAGGAGCGUACACGUUGGUGACCCGAAAGAUGGUGAACUAUGCUUGAGGAGGACGAAGCCAGAGGAAACUCUGGAGGAGGUCCGUAGCGAUUCUGACGUGCAAAUCGAUCGUCAAACUUGGGUAUAGGGGCGAAAGACUAAUCGAACCAUCUA